This is a long non-coding RNA of Vitis riparia (riverbank grape), 258 nucleotides long. RefSeq lists it as uncharacterized. Lineage: Eukaryota; Viridiplantae; Streptophyta; Magnoliopsida; Vitales; Vitaceae. The record is from RefSeq and is a predicted model, not a curated record. The transcript is spliced from 3 exons.
GUCAUUGCGGAUCGACUAAGGAAUGCAAAACAUGCUGAAUAUAUGCUUAUUCCAUACAAUCCAGAUUUCCACUGGGUCUUAGUGGCAUUGGAGAUGAAGAGAAUGAUUGCAUAUUACCUUGAUCCAAUGGCUUGUCAACCAUGUGAUGAUCUUAGGGAGAUAGUUAACAUUUGGCAGUGUUUUCAAUAUGGAUCAUCCAAUGGUUGCUCUAUUUUGAUGGAUGUGUAAUUGGCAAAUUGAGAGGUGAAGCCUAGUAGA